UAAACAUGCUCAUGAGACGCGCUGAAAGAUUAGAAAGACAACGUCAUUUGUCGCUUGACGUGUGAGGAUUACGAAGGAGUGUUCAUAAGCUCAGUUGAAUCACAAACUACUUUCACCAAACAAGCCUGCAUCUCUUCCGCAGCAACAUGAAAACAGGGCUGAUGUUGGCGAUGUUGCUGGUUGUGAUGGUGGUGGCAUCAGCAGCACCUGCCGUUGAACGAAACCUCAUCGAUGAUUUACUGAAAGUGUCGCCAGUACCAGUCACAUGCAUUCCCAUUGCGUGUCUAGUGGCGCCUUGUCCGUCCUGCCUCAACCCGUUUGGAUAAAUGUCGAUAUUCGGUGAAUAAAGCGACCAAGUCGUGUUGUACGGA
Molecule: long non-coding RNA, 371 nt
Organism: Haliotis rubra (blacklip abalone)
Lineage: Eukaryota; Metazoa; Mollusca; Gastropoda; Lepetellida; Haliotidae
Exons: 3
Source: RefSeq, a predicted model, not a curated record